Molecule: non-coding RNA, 3825 nt
Organism: Punica granatum (pomegranate)
Lineage: Eukaryota; Viridiplantae; Streptophyta; Magnoliopsida; Myrtales; Lythraceae
Source: RefSeq, a predicted model, not a curated record
GGCAGACAGUCUGUGUCUGAUAGUAAGAGAGAGAGAGAGAGAGAGAGAGAGAGAGGUGAGCUUCGCGUCCUCCUCUUCUUCUUGUGACUGUUGUUGCUUGGACGCAUGCCACAGCCGGUGUCUUGUCUCUAAGCGGAAACCCUCUCUCCCCAGAAUUAUUGGGUUCUUGAUGAAGUUAUUUUUUCUUGGGAAAUUGAGGUGUUUUUCGCGGUGAAUUGUGCGGAGUUUCAAGAAAUGUUGGACGAGAGGACUUGCUUGUAAAUGUCAGUUAAGAUGAAGAUGAACUUGGAGGAUGAUAAGAUAGAACCUGUGACUGAUUUAGGACUCUCUCUCGAUUAUUCUGACCAAUACAAUCAGAGAGAGGCAUUGAACAUCGAUCCCAGUGCAGGUGCAAAUGCAGGAUCAAGUGUGCACAUGACAUUUGUCGCCACCAACCCAUUGACGGAACUUGUGUGGUCUCCACACAAAGGUUUGAGUCUUAAAUGCGCUGACUGCAGCUUUUCAGAUGGGAAACCAGCUCUUACAUGGGGCGCAAGGCCCAGUAAUACGGCGGGUAUGGAAUGUCUCAUUGAACCGGUUAGUGAGCCGAAUUUGAUGGAAUUAGAGGAGAUAGUUGAUGCGAAGAUUGGUUUUACAACGGUACAUAAUUCGAGUGACAAGGAAAACGCAGUCAAUGGCGACAACAUGCCAGAGAUGAAAUUGAAAGCUCCUCCUGAAGUGUCUCUUUCUGAUAAAAGUUUUGAUGAGGGGAACCUGAGAGAUGGGCAGAGAGGAGGUAGGUCUGGGUUGGUCGACUUGAAGAUGGUGGAAGCAUCAAAAUGCACGGAAAAAUCAUAUUCUGCUUCACCAGGUUGUGAGGAGGGGACAAUAGUCAAUAUCCCAGCGAGCCAACUUAUCCAUUCUGAUGCUUCGGGCGAUCAAAAGCUUGGAAUUGAUGUGGUUCCGGUCUCUGAAGUUCAUCUUGUGGCCGAACAUCAUCCAGUGGACAAACAUAAACCUUCCGAUGAACCUCUCAUCUCUCUAUGCAAAGAUAAGGGAAAAAGAAUAAUGAGUGUGAAUGCAACUAGCCUUCACCGUUCGGAGAAACUGGAAUCAACCGCUGAGAACGUUCUACAAGCCAUGAACAUAGGUAACACUGCCGGAGCAGGAAUAAAGGUUACAUUGGAAUCAGAAUCUGCUGCUGUAAUCAAAUCAGAUCCUGUCCUGGAUUGCGAGGUAAAUCCGGGGGACGAUAUUAUUUUCAACUCUCAUUCUGCUCCCAGCAAGAGCAGAGUUCGUAAACAUGAAAACAGAGGCAAAGGAAAGGCUUUGUCUGAAGGUGAUGUCAACGGAAGGUUUUCGAAGGAUGAGGAAGAAGAUGACAGCUAUGAAAGUGUUGAGAGUUGUAAUAGUGCAGGGAUCUUCUCGACAGGAAAGAGGCGGUGGAGCUUUGAGCAGCAACUGAUUGGGGGGAGUAAGAGGGCAAAGCAGAUUGAACGAAUUCCCGGGACUUCAAGCACACCGACAAAGCACGAUAGUUCAUUUUUGAAUUGGAUAUCAAACAUGAUGAAGGGGUUCGCAAGGCCCCUGAAUCAGGAUGAGGAGGCACGUCCGCUCAGGUUUGCUCCUGCAAACCCUAGUCGCGUCGUUCAUGAGAAUAUGGAUGCUGCGAUGGAUGGGGACAUCCAACUGCUUAAUAGUAGGAGUAUGGGCUUUAAAUCCAUUUUCCAAUCGAUAUAUUGUCCAAAUAAGAGUGCUGAAGGAAUGACCACAUGUUUUAAUCAAUUGGGAGAGGGAUCUGCAGAAACCGAGCUGGCUAAUCAGACAAGCCUGACUGAUGCCGGCAUGCUGCACUGUUUUAAUAAAGGGAGUGAUAACAAAGUAUCGAAAGGGAACUUGAAUGAGGCUGUCCUGGGAAAAGAAGUGGUUCCUUUGGGUCCACCUCAGGUUUCGUUUGGGAAUUUCGUCAGCUCUUGGGAAAUUGGCAGGGCUUGCUCUUCUGGGAAUAGGAAUUCCAAUGACUUUGGACAUGGGAAAGGCAAGGAUGCAACUAAAACAUCCGAGUCAUCGCUUAAUGGACGGAAUGCGAAAAUAGGGGAGAAUAAUAGCUCUCCAACAUCAGAGGAGAAGAGGGCUAAUGAUCUUGGAUACCGAGGUGAUCCCUUCAGAAGCCUGUGGGUAACUCGUUUUUGUCCAAGACCUUGCUCGGUGAUCAAGGAAGAAGUUGGUAACCUAAGCAUUGCUGGAGCUUGUGAGAGUGGUCAGAAUUCGCUUGGUUUUUGUUGGGAUGAAGCUGCUCUAGAGGUGAGGGAUAGUACUGAUCAGGAACCUUCACAUGUCAUUGGGGAUCGAGAACCGAAGAAUUUUUUAUUCUGCCCUGAACCUUCAGUUGGUUUCGGACGAAUUGAGGAUCCAGCUUUGAUGCACAAAGAGAACCGAAUACUGCCUUCCAUGAGACUUAAAAGCUCGGAGGUGAUGGCUUCAGUAUUUGCAAGGAGAUUGGAUGCUCUCAAGAACAUUAUCUCGUCUUCGGAUGUAAUGGAUGAUUCAUCUCGGGCAACUACAACCUGCUUCUUCUGUGGGAUAAAGGGACAUCACUUGCAGAAUUGCUCGGAGAUUACAGAAACUGAGCUCGAAGAUCUUCUAAAGAACAUCAAAUCAUAUGAUAAAGCUGAUGGAUCCCCUUGUUUGUGCAUUCGAUGUUUCCAGCUCAAUCACUGGGCUGUUGCGUGUCCAAACGUGUCGCAGAAGAACCCUGAGGACAAUCUUAAGUGCAACCUCAAAUUGAAAGAAGUUUUUACCAUAGAUCGAGUUAUAUCAAGCUCAAAUCAGGCUGAGAAGAAGUCAAAUGUGAAUGUAAUCGCACCAUCGGGCGAUCUUGAAAAGUGGCAAGUUCGCGAAGUGCCAAAAGGAAUCUUCAGUGCUAUAAAGACCCUCCGAUUGUCCCGUACUGAUAUACUCAAAUGGAUGAAAACCCGAAUAUCACUGUCUCACCUUGAUGGAUUCUUCCUACGCUUGAGGCUUGGCAAGUGGGAAGAGGGGUUCGGAGGGACUGGUUACUACGUUGCUUGCAUAACUGGCAUGCAAAGGAAGAGUCUGGUGAAGGAUGCCAAAAGCCCCAUUUCGGUGAAUGUUGGGGGAGUAAAGUGCUUGGUUGAAAGCCAAUACAUAUCCAACCAUGAUUUCCUCGAGGAUGAGUUGAUGGCAUGGUGGUGCAUAGCCUCGCGAAACGGCGGCAAGGUCCUGUCAGAAGAAGACCUGAAAAUGAAAGCUGAGGAGAAGAAAAUGCUCGGGUUUUGAUGCCCAGGACAUCCGAACAAAUCAUUGGAGUGAUUCAUACUACUCUACCACAGUUGCAUAAUCCGACACCAAGGUGGUGAGCGGGAGAAAGUAUCUAGUGCAACCGUGUUACCACAUCAGCUCUGUAACGCGGUAACACCUUCCGAUCGCAAGUCGACAUGUGGAGAAAAACUCUAGCCAGUAGAGCUGCUCAGUGCAUAACGGCAGCUUCUCGUGAGAUGUAACGACGUUACUCUAUUUAAAAGGUUUUUACUCUAUUUAAAAGGUUUUAAAAUUUUCGAGUCCCGCCAGAUAUUUCUCUUCGCCCGCCUAGGGAAGAGAAAGCAGGGCUACCAGCUUGCCAUUAGUAUCACAUGUCACACCAGUCUCUCUCUCUCAUUGUUAUCAGAACUGGACCGGACCGGCCGGUCGAUCGGUCGGAUCGGGAAUCGGCACCAUGUCCGGUCCGGUUCGCUCGAAAUCUCAAAUUGCUAAUUUGAACGGUCGGACCCACUAAAUCGGUCAGUUUUGAGCAAAAUUUUAUUGAACCGGCUGGUUUUAUGAGUU